Triticum aestivum (bread wheat) is the source of this 1433-nucleotide long non-coding RNA. RefSeq lists it as uncharacterized. Lineage: Eukaryota; Viridiplantae; Streptophyta; Magnoliopsida; Poales; Poaceae. The record is from RefSeq and is a predicted model, not a curated record. The transcript is spliced from 4 exons.
CAGACUUUUUCCAAAAAGGUUCGACAUGCGUCUCCCUCCCCCACAGGAGAACACGAGACGACCAGAAGCUAGGGUUCCCUCCGCCGCCGCGCCCCAACCCUCCGGUCCGGCAACCCUCGCCUCCCUCUCCUAUCCCCAGUUGCCGUCGUAGUCCCCUGCCACCGGUCCGGCGUGCGAGGGCGAGAGCCACGCGAAGCGCCAGGCUGGCGAAGGCGCGAGGGAGGAGGAAAACGAGGACGCAAUAUCGUCAGGGAGGAAGCGAGAGGGCGGCCACGGCGAAAGGAGAUGACCAUCUGAUGUCUCGGUGGGGUAGCCCAACCCACCACUCCUCCUGCGGUGACGACGGCGGAGAGCAGAAGACCAUCUCACAACGCUGCCGCGGAUGAUGAAAUUGGAGAAGCGGUCUUGGUGAUAAGGCCAGUGGACUGAGGAACUACGGAUGUGGUUGCAGAGGACGUAGAGACUACUCAGCCUUUGUCCAGAAUCUUGGCAGAUCACUCAGAGACGGGUGCAUUCCUAUCUCGUUCUUCUCAAUUGAACUAUUUGUCUGUCAUCCCCUUCUCCGAUUGAAGUACAGCAUGCUAGAUACCACGGAGGUAUGUCCUGCACUUCCUGCGCAUGAAGGCGGAUGGAUUUUUUUUGGAUGCCACUAUCGUCAGACACAUCGUGUUUAUCAGCGAGUAACUGGUACAAAGUUCAGAUUAUCAGAUCCGUUCGUGCUGAUGGAUGGAUAGCUUCGUCGCAGUCGACGGGAGAAAUAUCACCAAUGGUAGGUAGGCUGAGGCGGACGCUAAUACCAAUCGGUCAAUGCAGGAAACCAACCCCGCCUCGUGCCAUUCCCCAUCUUUGUAUUUGUGUUAGGCCCAGCUCAAGGUAGAGGAAUAACAGGAGGCCAGAAAGAAUGAAGCUAGAAGGCAGAAGGCAUUUGAUCUGAAGGCAUGGUUCAAAAGUUGUUGAAGUGAAAGAUGAAGAGGAAUUUGUGGAGGAGCUGAAGACAUGACGUGGAAGAAAGAAGAAAGCAAACCCUAAACAUUAUAAUGAUGGAGACUGCUUGAUAUCUUGUUGUUUCAAGAAAUUCUGAUUAAGCUCUCAACCCGUGACCGAGUACUGCCCUGCCUAGCCACGCGUCCAGGAUGCGGAAGAUGCGGCGCUUGCUGGAAAGCUGGUCAAGUAGGGCCCCCACUGUGUGUUUUAGCAGAUUGAUCCUGCACAUCACACUAACUGCUAGAAAUAAGUGGACUCAGAACAAUUUGCAAUCAUCAGUUGGAUAUUUGACGACUACAAUAUAUGCUGUUUUCUAUAUUGAGUUUGUAUAUUCGAUCUCACCACUUGUUAGCUUCCUUCUGAGAUCCAAUUUAUAUUUUUCAGUUUUCACACUAGAGUGAUUAUUUAUAUGUAUUACUGUAGAGACACGGGAAUCUAGAUUGUUCUUU